This 950-nucleotide ribosomal RNA is filed under the name uncultured bacterium. Its description in RNAcentral is "bacterial SSU rRNA". It matches the Rfam family "Bacterial small subunit ribosomal RNA", at positions 8 to 965 of the family's 1533-position model. The record is from RNAcentral.
AGAGUUUGAUCAUGGCUCAGGAUGAACGCUAGCGGCAGGCUUAAUACAUGCAAGUCGAGGGGCAUCAAGGUACACGAAAGUGUAUUGUUGGCGACCGGCGGACGGGUGAGUAAUAGGUAGGUAACCUACCUCAUACUGAGGCAUAGCUGGGAGAAAUUCCAGGUAAUUCCUCAUGAGGUUAUAUGACACAUGUGAUAUAAUCAAAGGUAUCGCAAGGUACUGGUAUGAGAUGGGCUUACUGACCAUUAGCUAGUUGGUGAGAUAACAGCCCACCAAGGCAACGAUGGGUAGCCGGCCUGAGAGGGCGACCGGCCACACUGGAACUUAGAUACGGUCCAGACUCCUACGGGAGGCAGCAGUGGGGAAUUUUGCGCAAUGGGGGAAACCCUGACGCAGCGACGCCGCGUGAGCGAUGAAGGCCUUCGGGUCGUAAAGCUCAGUCAUUGGGGAUGAAAAGGACAGUACCCAAAGAGGAAGCCCCGGCUAACUACGUGCCAGCAGCCGCGGUAAUACGUAGGGGGCGAGCGUUGUCCGGAAUUACUGGGUGUAAAGGGCGUGUAGGCGGGGAUGCAAGUUACCGGUAAAAACCCGUGGCUCAACCACGGGCUUGCCGAUAAAACUGCAUCUCUUGAGUGUAGGAGAGGGAAGUGGAAUUCCCGGAGUAGCGGUGAAAUGCGUAGAUACCGGGAGGAACACCAGUGGCGAAGGCGGCUUCCUGGCCUAUCACUGACGCUGAGGCGCGAAAGCUAGGGGAGCGAACGGGAUUAGAUACCCCGGUAGUCCUAGCCGUAAACGAUGGUCACUAGGUGUGGGUGGUGGUCAAGCCAUCCGUGCCGGAGCUAACGCAAUAAGUGACCCACCUGGGGAGUACGGCCGCAAGGUUGAACUCAAGGAAUUGACGGGGGCCCGCACAGCGGUGGAGCAUGUGGUUUAAUUCGAAGCAACGCGAA